UCGUUGUCAACUAAACCACAGCAGUAAGUCCAGCCUCCAGCCAUUCCUUGAACACUUCCAGGAACUGUGACUCCAUCACCUCUUUGGAGAACCCAUGCCAAUGCCUGGCCACUCCCUCAGUGAAGAAAUUCUUCCUGAUGUCCCAUCUGAACCUGCCCUGGCACAGCUUGAGUCCAUCCCUCUCAUAUGGUCACUGGUUGCCUGGAGAAGAGGCUGACUCCACCUGACUACAGCCCCUUCCAGGUUCCAUUCCUUUCCUACAGGAUACCCCCAGGAAGCAGCUAUGUCAUGGUCCUUGGUGGAGCUAUGCAGGGGGAAAUCUGGGGGUUCACAGGGAACCUGACUAUGCCCAAAUGGCUCAUCACACCAACAACUGUAGGUGGACAGGGAUGAACAGGAGAUUUACCCUGGGAGGGAACCAAACCCCACUCCAAGCAACAGGGCUCUCCCAAGAAGAAGCUAAUACUGGACAGGAGACAAGGAUUUGCAAGGAAACCUAAUGCAAGAAGUCAUUAAAAAUCAUCAAACAUAGUUUUCUUGCCAGCAAAUUAGAUAGAACAGCAGAAUACUUGUUCCUCACAGUCCCAGCUUGUGAGGUAUUUCAUAUUGAGGAGGGUCUCAACUGGCUCAGCCAUGUCCAAAUUCAGGCUUCACCAGGCCUCCUGGAGAUAUUUAUUGCAGAGCAUCUUUGUACUUGCUGCAUUCUUCACAGCACUAGGAGAUGCUGGAGAUCUUCUCACUUGGAAAGCAAUUCUUCUAAAUUGGAAAGAAGGCACAACACCUUCUCAUCAUGC
Passer domesticus (house sparrow) is the source of this 794-nucleotide long non-coding RNA. RefSeq lists it as uncharacterized. The record is from RefSeq and is a predicted model, not a curated record. The transcript is spliced from 3 exons. Lineage: Eukaryota; Metazoa; Chordata; Aves; Passeriformes; Passeridae.